GCAUGGGCUGUUAGAAAUCAGAUCUAAGGAGCCUUAGGGAAGGUCUCUUUUUAUAGGCAAAAAAUUUGAAUCAUAUUCAAAAUUAAAUAAUCUCUUAAUACAAGUCCUACUUGCAUUAGAAAUCCUUAUUCUUUUAGUUAUUUGACCCCCUUUAGGAGAUCCAUUAGGCACCAACUAUUGGAGCCUUUGCACCCACUUUUGCACAUGCCAUAUGGCACUUAUGGGAUGCCCC
Molecule: long non-coding RNA, 232 nt
Filed under: Elaeis guineensis (African oil palm)
Lineage: Eukaryota; Viridiplantae; Streptophyta; Magnoliopsida; Arecales; Arecaceae
Description: long non-coding RNA (EGUI_LNC038781)
Source: RNAcentral